This 267-nucleotide long non-coding RNA is filed under the name Physcomitrium patens. Its description in RNAcentral is "long non-coding RNA (PPAT_LNC001750)". The record is from RNAcentral. Lineage: Eukaryota; Viridiplantae; Streptophyta; Bryopsida; Funariales; Funariaceae.
AUUCUUCAUAAGCUUCUUUUAAAUGCAAAUUUAUCCAUACUUCUUUUUCUUUUCUCUUUGCUAUGCUUUCUUAAAUCAGCAUCAAAUCAUCUUCUAAACCUACUUCUUCUAUUAUUCCAUCUAUACUCUCUUUUUUAAAAAUCAAACUCAUAUUUUUAAAUUUUUUUCUCAUGUUUCUUCAUUCUUCUUCUAUCUACUGAAUUCAAAUCUUUAAUUUUUUUGAAAUUCAUAAAUCUACUAUCAUUUAAAUCUAAAAACAUAUUAUUU